UUAUGAUUGUUUGUGGUUCAUAUAAUAUCAUAACUGUGUCUGUGUCUAGUGAUAAAAUAAUUGUGCACGUCCCCUUUAAGGAGUUUGUUAGUAAUACACUGUCUAAAAACGUGGCUUUGCCCAGCAGGUUAGUUCAUUUCUUUGUGAUUGGCCCUUGUCCUUCUUAUUCCCGCCUCUGCAGGUAUACUGAGAAUUCUGAUUGGAUGAAGGGGUGGAGUUUAGAACUGCAGAUCGGUGUGAGAGUUUAGUUAACGAUGUGACUGGGAGGAAUUCAUGGACCAGUUGGGACUUACCUCGGACGUGCUUUGGAGUAUCGUUGCUAUGGCGAUAAAGGAUCGUGCUGCUGUUCGGUAGAGGAGGGACUACAGAAAGAUCUACAGCUUCAGAGGAGGGAAUUUCGUGUUCCAGCCGCCUGGGAAGCCGUUCAGCCGACCAGAGUCCGCUCUUCCAGAACCAGAACCCAUGCAGGUGGAUCCUACUGGUCUCUCACUGUCAGAGCGUCAUGGAAGACUUACUCUAGGAUUGUGUCUAUACUGUGGAGCAUCGGGGCAUACCAUCAUCUCAUGCCCCAUUUGCCCCCCACCACCACACCUGUCUCAGCCCUCCUCCAUUCAGGAUUAACUCAUUAAACCACAUAAGUCCGUCCCACACCACUGUAUUAUUAGAUAAAGUGCUGUGAUCUUAUAUGAUAAAACAUUUAAUAAGGUGUUAAUAUGAUCAAUUCUGCUCAUAAAACAUUUCUCAGUAAUGAAUGAAAUGAACAAAAGUUACCUUUUUUUGUGUUUACAAUGUUAACAAACUUAUUCAUGCUGUACCUGUUCCAUCCUCCACAUUUUGCUCACCUAGUUUCUCUGGCACAUCCUUCUCUACCUUUUCACACAAAUGGACACUGAGCUGCUCACUAGGGAGGAAUCACGUAUGAAAGUUACCACUUGCUUACUUGAUCCCCUCCUACAAGCUUGUUUAAAUCCUGUUUGUAUUCAUUGUGCCCUGCUGUUCUCAGUAUUGUAAAUGAUUCCCUGCAUACUGGUGUUGUGCCAGCAGCAUUGACUGGUGACUGGUUUUGUCUGUACGGGUGUUCCUCAGGGUUCCAUCUUAGGCCCCUUACUUUUUAGCAUGUACAUAUUUCCACUUGGAUUGCUUUUAAGAUCACUUGGGCUUAAUUGUCACUUUUAUGUGGACGACACUCAGAUUUAUAUUCACUUUAAGCCUAAUCAAAAUUUGGACCUUUCUUUUUUAACACUGUAUCGCUGAGAUAAAAACGUGGAUGUCUCAAAAUUGAUUGUGCCUUGCACUGGCUUCAGGUCAGGUUCAGAGUAGAUUUUAAAGUCCUCAUGCUUACAUACAAGGCACUGCAUGGUCUUGCCCCCCGGUAUCUGUGUGCACUUUUAACUUUAUACACACCCGAGCAUUACUUCUGCUCCUCACAAGCAGGACUGUUGGUAGUCCCACAGACACGGCUGCGUUCUGUAGGGGAUUGGGCUUUUUCCUUGUACGCGCCUAGACUUUGGAACGCACUCCGUCCUCACAUCCGUUAGGCUGAAGACUAACCGUUAGGCUGAAGACUCUCCCGUCCGUUCUACUCUCCAAUGUUUGCUCCCUGGACAAUAAACUAGACUCGAACGCGCUACACUGUGAGAGUUUAGAAACUGCUGCUUCUUUCUUUUCACAGAGACGUGUUUGACCUAUUUAUUAGUGUUUUUUAGCUGGGGUUGUACACGGGGUUGUAUUCAGGAUUGUACUCGGGGUUGUAAUGUGUGUUUUAUAAUCAGUGUCUGUUGUGAGAAAAAGUGAACAUUUAAAAAAAAAAACAUUUUUUAAAAAUUGCAUCCACAACAUGAACAUUUUAGGAACAUUACAGAACAUAACGGAACAUUACUUCACAUGAACUUCAAAAAAACAUCACGGAACUUAAACCAACAAAUAACAAAUAAACCAACAAAAAAACCACCAACAACCACCCGAUUGCCGCCAACAACCACCCAAGCUGAUAAAUAUAAAAUUGAUAGAAAAUAUAUAAAUUACAUAGAAAUUUCUAACUUCUGCACAAAUAAAGACGGACUUACUUCAUUUCCGUCAGGCGGCUCUGGAGUCUCCACUGCCGGCAGUACAUCUUCCACCGCCUCCUUCACCGCCCCGGGAAGGAACUCAUGGAGUGCUUUUUUAAUGGUUUUCCUGCAGUUGCAGGUGGGUGGAAGACCGUCUGAAAACGACCUUCCUCUACUGUAAUGCACCUUAACUUUUAUUGGUUUGGCCUUUGAUCGCCCUCCUGAUGCCAUAUUGUGAUAAUGAGUAACACCCACCUAGCGGCUGCUCUAUUUAUAAUCUAACAUUAUAAUUAUGCACAAAUCAAACGUGUGUUAUUGGUCAUAAUCCCUCUUCCUCCCGCUCCUCCUACACACUUAUUGGCUAAGAUCCUUGUGACCAAUCCGAAACACGCCGUAAAAUUACAGCAUCAGUCCGUCAUUCUGUUCAACGCCACAUAAUUAUUAUUAAAUAAUAAUGAAGACAUGAGACA
Long non-coding RNA from Tachysurus vachellii, 2518 nucleotides. RefSeq lists it as uncharacterized. Lineage: Eukaryota; Metazoa; Chordata; Actinopteri; Siluriformes; Bagridae. The record is from RefSeq and is a predicted model, not a curated record. The transcript has 4 exons.